UUCCAGACUCCUACGGGAGGCAGCAGUGGGGGAUAUUGCACAAUGGGGGGAACCCUGAUGCAGCGACGCCGCGUGGGUGAAGGAGCGUUUCGGCGCGUAAAGCCCUAUCGGCAGGGAAGAAGGAGGACGGUACCUGACUAAGAAGCCCCGGCUAACUACGUGCCAGCAGCCGCGGUAAUACGUAGGGGGCGAGCGUUGUCCGGAAUCACUGGGCGUAAAGGGCGCGUAGGCGGUAAUAUAAGUCAGAUGUGAAAGGUGGGGGCUCAACCCCUAGAGUGCAACUGAUACUGUAUAACUUGAGUGUGAGAGAGGGAAGCGGAAUUCCUAGUGUAGCGGUGAAAUGCGUAGAUAUUAGGAGGAACACCAGUGGCGAAGGCGGCUUUCUGGCUCAUAACUGACGCUGAGGCGCGAAAGCGUGGGGAGCAAACAGGAUUAGAUACCCGAGUA
This 447-nucleotide ribosomal RNA is filed under the name uncultured bacterium. Its description in RNAcentral is "partial 16S ribosomal RNA". It matches the Rfam family "Bacterial small subunit ribosomal RNA", at positions 329 to 792 of the family's 1533-position model. The record is from RNAcentral.